GGGGUUAGUUAUGGUUUCUAUUGAGAGAAUAGUCCAGAUCAUAUGCUUUCAGGGAGAUGUCUUUGACUUCCUAAAUCAAGCAAAGACAAAAAUAAAUGCUAAAAAUAGAAUAGCUAAAGGUCUAGCUGCUUUCAAAAACAGCUUUGCUCCUGUAACUGUUGUUGCUUAAUCGAUAACAUUACGAAACGUAGCCUUUGCUAAGCAAUGAUGUCAGAUGACUGCUACAAAUUUUUAGAAAUAUUAUCUUGGUGUUUUUAAAAAUAUUUUACAAGAUUUACAAAAUAAUUUUUUGAGAUUUUAAUUCAUUUUGUAAUAUUAAAAAAAUUUUAUUUUGAAAUAUUUUUUGUUUGUUUUUUAUUUUUCAAGAUUAUUAAAAAUAAACUAUGAAAGUAGAAGUAUUUUCUCGGCCUCUCAAGACGUCGGUUCAAAUCCGUCUAACUCCACCA
Molecule: transfer-messenger RNA, 446 nt
Filed under: Candidatus Altimarinota bacterium
Lineage: Bacteria; Candidatus Altimarinota
Description: Candidatus Gracilibacteria bacterium transfer-messenger RNA
Rfam family: transfer-messenger RNA
About the family: Bacterial tmRNA, also known as 10Sa RNA or SsrA, is named for its dual tRNA and mRNA-like properties. Its role is to liberate the mRNA from a stalled ribosome. To accomplish this part of the tmRNA is used as a reading frame that ends in a translation stop signal.
Source: RNAcentral